AAACGUAUAGUUAAAGAUGCCGCCACGCAGGAAUCCAAGGCGAAACCCAAACAACGAAGCACCAAUACCACCACCUGUACCUCUUCAACCACCAAAUCCUUUUGAUGCCACUAUGUUCCAGGCAGCUUUCACAGCAGCUGUUACAGCUGCUGUGUCAGCAAUCAACGCUCCUGCCCCUAGUGGAUCAGGAUCAGGUGCACCACCCUCGAACCACGGCGAAAGCCGUGGACACCCUCGGGAAUGCACCUACAAGGACUUCACUAACGCCAAACCCCGCAACUUCAAUGGAACUGGUGGUGUUAUGGUGUUGAGACAAUGGAUUGAAAAGAUGGAAUCCGUCUUUGAAAUCUGUGCUUGUCAGGAGGGCAGCAAGGUCAAGUUUGCAGCUUGUACCUUCUCUGACCGAGCACUAACAUGGUGNAAGGUCAAGUUCGCAGCUUGUACCUUCUCUGACCGAGCACUAACAUGGUGGAACAGCCAUGUUAACUAUCUAACUUUGGUGGUGGCGUAUUCCAUCGGCUGGGAAAAGUUGAAAGACAUGCUGAUGAAGGAAUACUGUCCUCGAGGCGAAAUACAAAAGCUCGAGCAAGAAUUCUGGGGUCUACAAAUGGUUGGAUCCGACAUCACUACCUACACAAAUAGGUUUUGUGAUUUCGCAAACUUAUGCCCCAACAUGGUUGCUC
This 683-nucleotide long non-coding RNA is filed under the name Lactuca sativa (garden lettuce). Its description in RNAcentral is "long non-coding RNA (LSAT_LNC000070)". Lineage: Eukaryota; Viridiplantae; Streptophyta; Magnoliopsida; Asterales; Asteraceae. The record is from RNAcentral.